This 216-nucleotide long non-coding RNA is filed under the name Citrus x clementina. Its description in RNAcentral is "Citrus clementina (C. clementina) long non-coding RNA (CCLE_LNC002203)". Lineage: Eukaryota; Viridiplantae; Streptophyta; Magnoliopsida; Sapindales; Rutaceae. The record is from RNAcentral.
GGCGCGGCUUUGCCCGCGGCUUGUUUUUGGCACCCCGAGGCCCCUCGCAAAGGCUCGCCCCAUUCCGAGUCCGGGGGACAAACUUCGCCCGCGCCCCCCACCAAGGCUAUAGCCCACGACCCGUUUUUUGGCCAUUUUUCCGCUGGGGAGUUUUGGCACCACGAACUUCGGGCGCGGCUUUGCCCGCGGCUUAUUUUUGGCACCCCGAGGCCCCUC